GACGAACGCUGGCGGCGUGCUUAACACAUGCAAGUCGAACGGAAAGGCCCUGCUAUUGUGGGGUGCUCGAGUGGCGAACGGGUGAGUAACACGUGAGUAACCUGCCCUUGACUUUGGGAUAACUUCAGGAAACUGGGGCUACUACCGGAUCGGAGCUCCUGCUCCAUGGUGGGGGUUGGAACGUUUAGGCGGGUGGGGAUGGACUCGCGGCUUAUCAGCUUGUUGGUGGGGUAGUGGCUUACCAAGGCUUUGACGGGUAGCCGGCCUGAGAGGGUGACCGGCCACAUGGGGACUGAGAUACGGACCAGACUCCUACGGGAGGCAGCAGUGGGGAAUAUUGCACAAUGGGCGGAAGCCUGAUGCAGCAACGCCGCGUGCGGGAUGACGGCCUUCGGGUUGUAAACCGCUUUCGCCUGUGACGAAGCGUGAGUGACGGUAAUGGGUAAAGAAGCACCGGCUAACUACGUG
RNAcentral lists this ribosomal RNA (468 nucleotides) under uncultured bacterium. RNAcentral's name for it is "partial 16S ribosomal RNA". It matches the Rfam family "Bacterial small subunit ribosomal RNA", at positions 28 to 507 of the family's 1533-position model. The record is from RNAcentral.